This 301-nucleotide ribosomal RNA is filed under the name uncultured bacterium. Its description in RNAcentral is "partial 16S ribosomal RNA". It matches the Rfam family "Bacterial small subunit ribosomal RNA", at positions 509 to 808 of the family's 1533-position model. The record is from RNAcentral.
CAGUAGCGCGGUAAUACGGAGGGUGCAAGCGUUAAUCGGAAUUACUGGGCGUAAAGCGCACGCAGGCGGUCUGACAAGUCAGAUGUGAAAUCCCCGGGCUUAACCUGGGAACUGCAUUUGAAACUGUCAGGCUGGAGUCUUGUAGAGGGGGGUGGAAUUCCAGGUGUAGCGGUGAAAUGCGUAGAGAUCUGGAGGAAUACCGGUGGCGAAGGCGGCCCCCUGGACAAAGACUGACGCUCAGGUGCGAAAGCGUGGGGAGCAAACAGGAUUAGAUACCCCGGUAGUCCCUGUCUCUUAUACA